GAUGAACGCUAGCGAUAGGCCUAACACAUGCAAGUCGAGGGGCAUCACAUGAAGUAGCAAUACGGAUGGUGGCGACCGGCGCACGGGUGAGUAACACGUAUGCAACCUGCCUUCAACAAGGGGAUAACCCGUUGAAAGACGGACUAAUACCCUAUAACACAGGGGUCCCGCAUGGGAAUAUUUGUUAAAGGACAACCGGUUGAGAUGGGCAUGCGUUCCAUUAGCUAGUUGGCGGGGUAACGGCCCACCAAGGCAACGAUGGAUAGGGGAACUGAGAGGUUUAUCCCCCACACUGGUACUGAGACACGGACCAGACUCCUACGGGAGGCAGCAGUGAGGAAUAUUGGUCAAUGGACGCAAGUCUGAACCAGCCACGUCGCGUGAAGGAAGACGGCCCUACGGGUUGUAAACUUCUUUUAUACGGGAAUAAAGUGCCCCACGCGUGGGGUUUUGCAUGUACCGUAUGAAUAAGGAUCGGCUAACUCCGUG
Molecule: ribosomal RNA, 489 nt
Filed under: uncultured bacterium
Lineage: Bacteria
Description: bacterial SSU rRNA
Rfam family: Bacterial small subunit ribosomal RNA
Source: RNAcentral